AAGUUCUGCUGCUGCUGUUCCGUUGAAUGGCUUGCGACAGUUCUUUGUUGCCAAGUUCCACAUUUUGGGUAGCUUCAACUGCCUGCUCAUAUAAAAGCUCUAUCUGUUGGGCCUGUUGCAAAACAUGAGUAGACAUGAGAUGGUUUAACGCAGACAUUUCCACCAUCUUUGUUUCUGUUUCUUGAACAGAAUCCAGGAGACUGUUCAGCUCUACCUGUAGGGCACGUGUUUCAUCAUCCAAAAGUUGUUCUUGGACUCUUAUAGGCGCUGCUUGUGUAUCGGGGUCCCCGAGACCCUCAGAGUCCCUUUUCAUGUUGGGGUCCAAAUUACUAGAAACAGAGGUCUCUGCAGCAUUUGAUUUGGUAGUGUUCUUACGUUUCCUUCUUGGUGUCACUCGGUUAAUAGCAUCUUGAAACCGUAUUGCCCGCAAUUGGUCAAAUUGUGAUGUGACAGAGUGAAGCUUUUCACUUAAAAUCAAAACCACUCCAUGCUUGUGUGCUAUAGUAUCAGCAUUCAAAUUGUCACCCUUCAAACCAAGCCAUCCCUUUGAAUUUGCAUCUUCCUCGUUUAUACUAUUUCUGAGAACAUCUAUCUGCUCUUUGCAUGAUUUUACAAAAAUAGUAACUUCAUGCUCAAUGCUAUCCCUCUCUUGUUCCGUUGUACGGUGCAGAUCAACAUAAUCCUUCUUGUGUUUCAUCAAAAAUUGUUCCAAAGUCCCAAUACUCUCUAGCGUUUUAAGCGCAGCUCUGGUGAAUCCUGACUUUUGCCGAGGUUUAUGCAUGAUAAAAGAUGCCAAUAAGGCAGCAGUCUUAGACUCAUCAUAUCCCAAAGACAAUGCUGAUCGAUGUGCAACAUCUUUAAAAUCUUCCGUUCUGUCUCUAACUUUUGACAUUCCUUCAAAUUCCAGGAGAAAAAUAAGAAGAUUUUUCCCAAUCAAAUGAUGUAAUAUGGUAUAUCCCAGCAGAAAACCUAAGAUAUUCUUCCUCCCGCUCACAAAUCUCAAAUUAGAACAAUCCUUCAGAUUCCGAAUUAGACAAACAAGCCCGGAACAACUGAAAACAGACCGAAAAUCCUUGCCGGCAGAUUGAACCGCGACCGGCAAAGUACUGGUAGUUCACGGCAGCAUCGGUGGCGAGAUCACAUUCGUGGUGCCGUGAGGUUUCUGAGCAAAUCCUGUUUCCCUUCCCCUGUAAUUUUAAGGAGAAA
This 1206-nucleotide unclassified non-coding RNA is filed under the name Hevea brasiliensis (rubber tree). Lineage: Eukaryota; Viridiplantae; Streptophyta; Magnoliopsida; Malpighiales; Euphorbiaceae. The record is from RNAcentral.